RNAcentral lists this ribosomal RNA (515 nucleotides) under uncultured bacterium. RNAcentral's name for it is "bacterial SSU rRNA". It matches the Rfam family "Bacterial small subunit ribosomal RNA", at positions 28 to 589 of the family's 1533-position model. The record is from RNAcentral.
AGCGAACGCUGGCGGCAGGCCUAACACAUGCAAGUCGAACGGACCCUUCGGGGUUAGUGGCGGACGGGUGAGUAACACGUGGGAACGUGCCUUUAGGUUCGGAAUAGCUCCUGGAGACGGGUGGUAAUGCCGAAUGUGCCCUUCGGGGGAAAGAUUUAUCGCCUUUAGAGCGGCCCGCGUCUGAUUAGCUUGUUGGUGGGGUAAUGGCCCACCAAGGCUACGAUCAGUAGCUGGUCUGAGAGGAUGACCGGCCACAUUGGGACUGAGACACGGCCCAAACUCCUACGGGAGGCAGCAGUGGGGAAUCUUGCGCAAUGGGCGAAAGCCUGACGCAGCCAUGCCGCGUGUAUGAUGAAGGUCUUAGGAUUGUAAAAUACUUUCACCGGUGAAGAUAAUGACUGUAGCCGGAGAAGAAGCCCCGGCUAACUUCGUGCCAGCAGCCGCGGUAAUACGAAGGGGGCUAGCGUUGCUCGGAAUUACUGGGCGUAAAGGGAGCGUAGGCGGACAUUUAAGUC